Molecule: long non-coding RNA, 375 nt
Organism: Canis lupus familiaris (dog)
Lineage: Eukaryota; Metazoa; Chordata; Mammalia; Carnivora; Canidae
Exons: 3
Source: RefSeq, a predicted model, not a curated record
GGGUCCCUAGGUGGGAUUUUUAGAUAUUGAAGGAGAAAAAAUUUUGCCAUCCCAAGACACAUCUCUUUGUCACAUCACCUAUCUUAAGCUGUUUUUUUUUAAGGAACUGUAGACCUAAGAGAAGCUCUGAGAAACCGAGUACCAGAAAGAGAAGGACAACACUGAACCUAAAUCUUUAGAAACUCUUUAUUAAUGGAGAAGACAAGGACUUAAGGACAAGGACCUACCCCGUUUACUGUGCCGUUCCUGGCAGUGGGUCAUUGUGAGACACCAGACACAGGAGUAUUGAGUGGAAUUCAAGUGAGAAACAAGUGCAUAUGGAAGCUGCCUUCAUAUCGACUUCCUUACGCAUGAAAUAGAAAGAGAGAAAGAAAG